Molecule: long non-coding RNA, 216 nt
Filed under: Musa acuminata (dwarf banana)
Lineage: Eukaryota; Viridiplantae; Streptophyta; Magnoliopsida; Zingiberales; Musaceae
Description: long non-coding RNA (MACU_LNC010033)
Source: RNAcentral
AGAAGCAGCACUAGUGGUGGAGAAGAGGUAGUGGUGGUCGGUGUCAGGAAGCAAAGGUUCCUUCUCGGUUGAGAAAGAUCAGCGUGCAUGGCUGCCGGCUUCAGCCUUUCUCACACAAUUUUUUUUCUUUUUUUUUUUAUGAUAACUACAUCGAUCACUAUAGCAAGAAUGCCAAGGAUCGCUGCUUUGAUACCAAAUAAUAAGACCCUAAGGUCU